UACGUAGGGUGCAAGCGUUAAUCGGGAUUACUGGGCGUAAAGCGUGCGCAGGCGGUUAUGUAAGACAGGUGUGAAAUCCCAGGGCUUAACCUUGGAACUGCAUUUGUGACUGCAUAGCUAGAGUACGGUAGAGGGGGAUGGAAUUCCGCGUGUAGCAGUGAAAUGCGUAGAUAUGCGGAGGAACACCGAUGGCGAAGGCAAUCCCCUGGACCUGUACUGACGCUCAUGCACGAAAGCGUGGGGAGUAAACGGG
RNAcentral lists this ribosomal RNA (253 nucleotides) under uncultured bacterium. Its description in RNAcentral is "partial 16S ribosomal RNA". It matches the Rfam family "Bacterial small subunit ribosomal RNA", at positions 524 to 776 of the family's 1533-position model. The record is from RNAcentral.